UACGUAGGGCGCAAGCGUUGUCCGGAUUUAUUGGGCGUAAAGAGCUCGUAGGCGGUCUGUCGCGUCGGCUGUGAAACCCCGAGGCUCAACCUCGGGCCUGCAGUCGAUACGGGCAGACUAGAGUGUGGUAGGGGAGACUGGAAUUCCUGGUGUAGCGGUGAAAUGCGCAGAUAUCAGGAGGAACACCGGUGGCGAAGGCGGGUCUCUGGGCCAUAACUGACGCUGGAGGAGCGAAAGCGUGGGGAGCAAACAGG
RNAcentral lists this ribosomal RNA (254 nucleotides) under uncultured bacterium. Its description in RNAcentral is "partial 16S ribosomal RNA". It matches the Rfam family "Bacterial small subunit ribosomal RNA", at positions 524 to 776 of the family's 1533-position model. The record is from RNAcentral.